CUGGUGUUGAAGGCCCUGCAAAGCAGCAUCGCGGUGGCGGAGCGUCGUUUGAGACGCCCAACACACAAAACAAGCGGUGAGUGCUUUGGGGUGGGGUGACUGCGUACCUUUUGUAUAAUGGGUCAGCGACUUAUAUUCUGUAGCAAGGUUAACCGAAUAGGGGAGCCGGAGGGAAACCGAGUCUUAAUUGGGCGUUAAGUUGCAGGGUAUAGACCCGAAACCCGGUGAUCUAGCCAUGGGCAGGUUGAAGGUUGGGUAACACUAACUGGAGGACCGAACCGACUAAUGUUGAAAAAUUAGCGGAUGACCUGUGGCUGGGGGUGAAAGGCCAAUCAAACCGGGAGAUAGCUGGUUCUCCCCGAAAGCUAUUUAGGUAGCGCCUCGUGAACUCAUCUCCGGGGGUAGAGCACUGUUUCGGCUAGGGGGCCAUCCCGGCUUACCAACCCGAUGCAAACUGCGAAUACCGGAGAAUGUUAUCACGGGAGACACACGGCGGGUGCUAACGUCCGUCGUGAAGAGGGAAACAACCCAGACCGCCAGCUAAGGUCCCAAAGUCAUGGUUAAGUGGGAAACGAUGUGGGAAGGCCCAGACAGCCAGGAUGUUGGCUUAGAAGCAGCCAUCAUUUAAAGAAAGCGUAAUAGCUCACUGGUCGAGUCGGCCUGCGCGGAAGAUGUAACGGGGCUAAACCAUACACCGAAGCUGCGGCAGCGAACGUAUCACCCAAGACAACUUUGCGGAGUUGACGAUUGACGGAGCGAAGCGACGUCAAAGCGUUCAUUAAAGUCGAGUUGGCUUAGGGAUACGUUCGUUGGGUAGGGGAGCGUUCUGUAAGCCAGUGAAGGUGUGUCGUGAGGCAUGCUGGAGGUAUCAGAAGUGCGAAUGCUGACAUAAGUAACGAUAAAGCGGGUGAAAAGCCCGCUCGCCGGAAGACCAAGGGUUCCUGUCCAACGUUAAUCGGGGCAGGGUGAGUCGACCCCUAAGGCGAGGCCGAAAGGCGUAGUCGAUGGGAAACGGGUUAAUAUUCCCGUACUUGGUGUUACUGCGAAGGGGGGACGGAGAAGGCUAUGUUGGCCGGGCGACGGUUGUCCCGGUUUAAGCGUGUAGGCUGGUUUUCCAGGCAAAUCCGGAAAAUCAAGGCUGAGGCGUGA
This 1149-nucleotide ribosomal RNA is filed under the name Salmonella enterica. RNAcentral's name for it is "partial 23S ribosomal RNA". It matches the Rfam family "Bacterial large subunit ribosomal RNA", at positions 566 to 1566 of the family's 2925-position model. Lineage: Bacteria; Pseudomonadati; Pseudomonadota; Gammaproteobacteria; Enterobacterales; Enterobacteriaceae. The record is from RNAcentral.